CAAAAGGUUUGGUCCUGGCCUUUUUAUUAACUCUUAGUAGANUUNCACAUGCAAAUAUCCNUGCCCCUGUGAGAAUGCCCUCUAUAUCAUCACGAUCAAAAGGUGCAGGCAUCAAGCUCACUANAAUNAGUUGCUCAUAACGCCUUGCUCAACCACACCCCCACGGGUUACAGCNGUGAUUAAAAUUAAGCNCAUGAACGAAAGUUCGACUAAGUUAUACUAANNNCAUUGGGUUGGUAAAUUUCGUGCCAGCCACCGCGGUCAUACGAUUAACCCUAGUUAAUAAAACACGGCGUAAAGCGUGAUUAAUAGACCUUAACUCAAUAAGACUAAGCCUAGACUAAGCUGUAAAAANCCCUAGUCUCAAUAAAAAUGAUUAAACGAAAGUAGUCUUAAAAUACUUGAAUUCACGAUAGCUAAGACCCAAACUGGGAUUAGAUACCCNACUAUGCUUAGCCCUAAACAUAGAUACUCAACUAACAAGACUNNNNNCNNGAGUNCUACUAGCAACAGCUUAAAACUCAAAGGACUUGGCGGUGCUUUACAUCCCUCUAGAGGAGCCUGUUCUAUAAUCGAUAAACCCCGAUACACCUUACCACCUUUUGCAAAUAUCAGCCUAUAUNCCGCCAUCUUCAGCAAACCUUAACAAAGUCUCACAGUAAGCGCAAUAAUAACACAUAAAUACGUUAGGUCAAGGUGUAGCCUAUAAGGUGGGAAGAAAUGGGCUACAUUUUCUACCUACUAGAACAGCUACNNAACGACAGCUUUUAUGAAACUCAAAGCCCAAGGCGGAUUUAGUAGUAAGCUAAGAAUAGAGCGCUUAGCUGAAUCGGGCAAUAAAGCACGCACACACCGCCCGUCACCCUCUUCAAAUUCUACGAACAAAUAAUUNNNAUAUCUAAUUCCNCUUCACCAAUAGCAUGAGAAGAGAUAAGUCGUAACAAGGUAAACAUACUGGAAAGUGUGUUUGGAACAA
RNAcentral lists this non-coding RNA (976 nucleotides) under Dremomys rufigenis rufigenis. Lineage: Eukaryota; Metazoa; Chordata; Mammalia; Rodentia; Sciuridae. The record is from RNAcentral.